Molecule: long non-coding RNA, 949 nt
Filed under: Salvia miltiorrhiza (redroot sage)
Lineage: Eukaryota; Viridiplantae; Streptophyta; Magnoliopsida; Lamiales; Lamiaceae
Description: long non-coding RNA (SMIL_LNC001588)
Source: RNAcentral
UCUCUGAUGCUUUCUCAUGCCGGGAAUACGGAUUAUCAAGGACUGAAAGGCUCUGCUAUUCCUUUGUGAGUAACUCCUUGAUAAUACGGGAUUCCCUGACGUGGGUGGAGGUAUCACCGGGUUUUCCUGACCAUCGGAGCCCUGUUUGGUGGUUACCUGAGAAGAUCUGAGCUGCCGGAGUUCUGACCUUGGCUCCUGCUGUUGGUGGCUCUGUUGAGAUCUGUGAAGCUGCUCCAUCGUCCUUACCUCGCCGUUGAUCAUUCAGCUGCCGGAAGGGUUGCUGAGUUAAAGGGGAAAAUCUGAGCCCCCUGUGUCCCGAAGGACACCUUUUCCCCUUCUCUGAACUUUUACUCCUGUAUUUCUGUUCUUUUCUUUCUAGUAUCUUGUUACUCCUUGCUUGUCUAUUUUGUGCAGAUCUGACAGAGGGAAGGAGGAGCUGAGAAGAGAAGAACAGGAGGAGAAGAAGAAGUGCCUGAGCACGAAGUGAGACGGACCGGAGGUUCGGGAAACAAGAGGAGUAAUCCCGGCAAGGCGAAGAUACCCAACAGUGGUAUCAGAGCCACGGGGACCUUGCCGGGGCUCCCCCCGAACACAUCCCUCUCACCCCGCCGCCCUUUGGCUGCGCCGACUCGCUCCCGACGAGCAAGGGUUGAGGUAGGUCCGGCUCUUCCUCCUGAAGAGUCCGGCUCUGGUAAAGCGGCUGUAACCCUAGCUCCUAGUUUUAGGCUUGGUCAAGGUGCUGCUUUUAUUUUUUAUUUUUGGUAUCUUGCGAUCCUGCUCUCUUGUUUGCUUCCGCUUGCUGUUUUUCUCUGUCUGUGUUCUUGUGUUAUCUCCUGUAACCUCAAGAGCAUUCAAAAGCUCACCGUUGGUCUAAGCUUACGGUCCAGUCCGUCUGAAUUCACUUUAAAGUGUCUUCUCGUGCGUGGUAGCCUGGAUAGCUUGACUGAUA